GCUGGGCACGGUGGCACAUACCUGUAAUCCCAGCAGCUCGGGAAGCUGAGGCAGGAGUAUUGCAAGUUCAAAGCCAGCCUCAGCAAUGGCAAGGCACUAGUCAACUCAGUGAGACCCUGUCUCUA
RNAcentral lists this small RNA (125 nucleotides) under Marmota monax (woodchuck). The record is from RNAcentral. Lineage: Eukaryota; Metazoa; Chordata; Mammalia; Rodentia; Sciuridae.